UACAGAGGGUGCAAGCGUUGUUCGGAAUUACUGGGCGUAAAGGGCGCGUAGGCGGCUCUGAUCGUCGGAUGUGAAAGGCCUGGGCUCAACCUGGGAAUGGCAUCCGAUACGGCGGGGCUGGAGUGUGGGAGAGGUUGGUGGAAUUCCCAGUGUAGAGGUGAAAUUCGUAGAUAUUGGGAAGAACACCUGUGGCGAAAGCGGCUCACUGGACCACAACUGACGCUGAUGCACGAAAGCUAGGGGAGCAAACAGG
Molecule: ribosomal RNA, 253 nt
Filed under: uncultured bacterium
Lineage: Bacteria
Description: partial 16S ribosomal RNA
Rfam family: Bacterial small subunit ribosomal RNA
Source: RNAcentral